AAUAACUCCAUUUUUCACUUUUUUGAUAUAAUGUUUUGACUCUUCGUCUUAUUUGAAAUUUUUUACAAUUAAUAUUUUUAUCGUUACUAGAUGAUAAAAUAUGAAUGAUACUUUAUGCGUAACUAAUUUUUUUAUGUUUUUUACAAAAUUUUUAAAUAAGACGAAGUCAAACGUUUGGCUCGGAAAAACGAAAAAUGAAGUUAUU
Molecule: microRNA precursor, 205 nt
Filed under: Oryza brachyantha (malo sina)
Lineage: Eukaryota; Viridiplantae; Streptophyta; Magnoliopsida; Poales; Poaceae
Description: MIR812 microRNA precursor family
Rfam family: MIR812 microRNA precursor family
Source: Rfam by way of RNAcentral